UGCGGGGUGGAGCAGUCUGGUAGCUCGUCGGGCUCAUAACCCGAAGGUCGUCGGUUCGAAUCCGGCCCCCGCUA
This is a non-coding RNA of Halomonas sp. PBN3, 74 nucleotides long. The record is from Rfam. NCBI's taxonomy places the organism in Bacteria, Pseudomonadati, Pseudomonadota, Gammaproteobacteria, Oceanospirillales, Halomonadaceae.